GAGCGCAACCCUUGUCCUGUGUUGCCAGCAUGCCCUUCGGGGUGAUGGGGACUCACAGGAGACCGCCGGGGUCAACUCGGAGGAAGGUGGGGACGACGUCAAGUCAUCAUGCCCCUUAUGUCUUGGGCUGCACACGUGCUACAAUGGCCGGUACAAUGAGCUGCGAAACCGUGAGGUGGAGCGAAUCUCAAAAAGCCGGUCUCAGUUCGGAUUGGGGUCUGCAACUCGACCCCAUGAAGUCGGAGUUGCUAGUAAUCGCAGAUCAGCAUUGCUGCGGUGAAUACGUUCCU
Molecule: ribosomal RNA, 290 nt
Filed under: Streptomyces sp.
Lineage: Bacteria; Bacillati; Actinomycetota; Actinomycetes; Kitasatosporales; Streptomycetaceae
Description: partial 16S ribosomal RNA
Rfam family: Bacterial small subunit ribosomal RNA
Source: RNAcentral